GACAGAGGGUGCAAACGUUGUUCGGAAUUACUGGGCGUAAAGCGUGUGUAGGCGGCUCUCCAAGUCGGAUGUGAAAGCCCCGGGCUCAACCCGGGAAGUGCAUACGAUACUGGGGAGCUUGAGUCUUGGAGAGGUUGGUGGAAUUCUCGGUGUAGAGGUGAAAUUCGUAGAUAUCGAGAGGAACAUCGGCGGCGAAGGCGGCCAACUGGACAAAGACUGACGCUGAGACACGAAAGCGUGGGGAGCAAACAGG
Molecule: ribosomal RNA, 253 nt
Filed under: uncultured bacterium
Lineage: Bacteria
Description: partial 16S ribosomal RNA
Rfam family: Bacterial small subunit ribosomal RNA
Source: RNAcentral